Long non-coding RNA from Dermacentor silvarum, 412 nucleotides. RefSeq lists it as uncharacterized. NCBI's taxonomy places the organism in Eukaryota, Metazoa, Arthropoda, Arachnida, Ixodida, Ixodidae. The transcript is spliced from 3 exons. The record is from RefSeq and is a predicted model, not a curated record.
ACCGUCGCCGCUCAGUGGUCAUUCCCUGUGCUGUGCGGAAAAUGGGCGGCACAACCGGCUGGAAAGGGUCGACUGGUCGACCUCUGCUGCUGGGCCCCACGUCCCACUGUUCUUCUGGUUCCGGUACAAAUGGCUUUGCCCCUCCCGGCGCAGGAAUGUCAAAGGCUGGGUCUGGAUCGUCCCUGGUCGCUGUGCAGAAUGUCGACGACCGGUCCGGGCAGGUGGCGAUGUGCCUCUGGUAGUCCUCAUCAUUGGCGGGCGCCAUGUGAUCCGUGGUGAACGGGCAAGGCUUCAGUCGGUACCGAGGGUGUUCCUUGCGGCACUUGGUCAUGUGUAUGUUCAGCCGACCUCUCUUGACUUUGUGGAACGGGUUGUACGGGCACUUCACCAGGUCAUCUUGCAAGCUGUUGAA